RNAcentral lists this microRNA precursor (103 nucleotides) under Marmota monax (woodchuck). Lineage: Eukaryota; Metazoa; Chordata; Mammalia; Rodentia; Sciuridae. The record is from RNAcentral.
AGUGGGAUAGCUGGGUCAAACAGUGGUUCCAGUCCCAGUUUUCUGAGGAAUUUCCAUACUGCUUCCCAUAGUGGUUGCACCAAUUUGCAGUCCCAUCAGCAAU